UACGUAGGGUGCGAGCGUUGUCCGGAAUUAUUGGGCGUAAAGGGCUCGUAGGCGGUUUGUCGCGUCGGGAGUGAAAACUCAGGGCUUAACCCUGAGCCUGCUUCCGAUACGGGCAGACUAGAGGUAUGCAGGGGAGAACGGAAUUCCUGGUGUAGCGGUGAAAUGCGCAGAUAUCAGGAGGAGCACCGGUGGCGAAGGCGGUUCUCUGGGCAUUACCUGACGCUGAGGAGCGAAAGUGUGGGGAGCGAACAGG
Molecule: ribosomal RNA, 253 nt
Filed under: uncultured bacterium
Lineage: Bacteria
Description: partial 16S ribosomal RNA
Rfam family: Bacterial small subunit ribosomal RNA
Source: RNAcentral